RNAcentral lists this ribosomal RNA (391 nucleotides) under uncultured bacterium. RNAcentral describes it as "bacterial SSU rRNA". It matches the Rfam family "Bacterial small subunit ribosomal RNA", at positions 28 to 419 of the family's 1533-position model. The record is from RNAcentral.
AUUGAACGCUGGCGGAAUGCUUUACACAUGCAAGUCGAGCGGCAGCGCGGGGGCAACCCUGGCGGCGAGCGGCGAACGGGUGAGUAAUACAUCGGAACGUGUCCUUGAGUGGGGGAUAGCUCGGCGAAAGCCGGAUUAAUACCGCAUAAGCUCUGCGGAGGAAAGCGGGGGACUGGUAACGGCCUCGCGCUGUUGGAGCGGCCGAUGUCGGAUUAGCUAGUUGGUGGGGUAAAGGCCCACCAAGGCGACGAUCCGUAGCUGGUCUGAGAGGAUGAUCAGCCACACUGGAACUGAGACACGGUCCAGACUCCUACGGGAGGCAGCAGUGGGGAAUUUUGGACAAUGGGGGCAACCCUGAUCCAGCCAUUCCGCGUGAGUGAAGAAGGCCUGG